RNAcentral lists this small RNA (913 nucleotides) under uncultured Actinomycetes bacterium. Its description in RNAcentral is "bacterial SSU rRNA". The stretch from base 1 to 471 matches the Rfam family "Bacterial small subunit ribosomal RNA", at positions 1064 to 1533 of the family's 1533-position model. The record is from RNAcentral. Lineage: Bacteria; Bacillati; Actinomycetota; Actinomycetes.
GUCGUGAGAUGUUGGGUUAAGUCCCGCAACGAGCGCAACCCUUGUCCUAUGUUGCCAGCGGGUAAUGCCGGGGACUCGUAGGAGACUGCCGGGGUCAACUCGGAGGAAGGUGGGGAUGACGUCAAGUCAUCAUGCCCCUUACGUCCAGGGCUGCAAACAUGCUACAAUGGCCGGUACAAAGGGCUGCUAUUCCGCGAGGAUGAGCGAAUCCCAAAAAGCCGGUCUCAGUUCGGAUUGGAGUCUGCAACUCGACUCCAUGAAGUCGGAGUCGCUAGUAAUCCCGGAUCAGCAAUGCCGGGGUGAAUACGUUCCCGGGCCUUGUACACACCGCCCGUCACACCACGAAAGUCGGUAACACCCGAAGCCAGUGGCCCAACCGCAAGGAGGGAGCUGUCGAAGGUGGGAUCGGUGAUUGGGGUGAAGUCGUAACAAGGUAGCCGUACCGGAAGGUGCGGCUGGAUCACCUCCUUUCUAAGGAGUUACUGCUGGUCCCAACUGACAACCUUGUCAGGGAAAGACCGGAACUCCCACGUUGAUCACUCGCUAUUCGGCCCCUCGAGCUCAGUCGCAGUCGUAGGAUCCGUCCUCCUGCACCUGGCCCCGUGGUGUCGGGCCCCUCUGUUCCGUUUUCCGAGAGCAUCCAGUGCUCUCGCCCAGGCCCGCCUCCGGCGGAUCCUGGUGAACCGGCAAUGCCGGCCUACGGCCGACCGCUUGCCCGUUCCGCUUGAAGAGAGCGACUUCGUCGCCCUUCGAGCGUGCCCCUUGAGAACUCCAUAGCGAGCACGAGCAUCUUUUUGAAUUCCAAGCUACAAAGAGCCAACGGUGGAUGCCUUGGCGCCUGAAGCCGAUGAAGGACGUGGGUGGCUGCGAAAAGCCACGGGGAGCUGCCGACCAAGCUUCGAUCCGUGGAUGU